RNAcentral lists this ribosomal RNA (460 nucleotides) under uncultured bacterium. RNAcentral's name for it is "partial 16S ribosomal RNA". It matches the Rfam family "Bacterial small subunit ribosomal RNA", at positions 338 to 795 of the family's 1533-position model. The record is from RNAcentral.
CCUACGGGAGGCAGCAGUGGGGAAUAUUGGUCAAUGGGCGAAAGCCUGACCCAGCCAAGUCGCGUGAAGGAUGAAGGCUCUAUGGUUUGUAACCUUCUUUUAUAUGGGAGUAAAGUGUGGAACGUGUUCCUUUUUGUAUGUACCAUAUGAAUAAGCAUCGGCUAACUCCGUGCCAGCAGCCGCGGUAAUACGGCGGAUGCGAGCGUUAUCCGGAUUUAUUGGGUUUAAAGGGUGCGUAGGUGGUUAAGUAAGUCAGAGGUGAAAGUUUGUGGCUUAACCAUAAACUUGCCGUUGAAACUGGAUGACUUGAGUGUAUUUGAGGUAGGCGGAAUGCGGGGUGUAGCGGUGAAAUGCAUAGAUAUAACGCAGAACUCCGAUGGCGAAGGCAGCUUAUUAGACUGUAACUGACGCUGAAGCACGAAAGCGUGGGGAGCAAACAGGAUUAGAUACCCCUGUAGUC